RNA transcript from Scylla paramamosain (green mud crab), 2672 nucleotides. RefSeq lists it as uncharacterized. The record is from RefSeq and is a predicted model, not a curated record. The transcript is spliced from 8 exons. Lineage: Eukaryota; Metazoa; Arthropoda; Malacostraca; Decapoda; Portunidae.
UCACAAUGCCAUAAGUGAUGGUGCUUCGUGUGCAGGUGUGUAUUACGUGUAUAAGGUGUGUGAGUGCGUACAGUGCCACAUAGAGCCCUACAGUGCCAGACCAGGGGAGUGAAACAAAUCUGGCAUCUUCGUAGUGACGUCAUGGCGCGCGCGCGCGCAGCUACUCGGUUCAUUCCAGUGAUCGAAAAGUAUAAUAGCGAAUCUUGUCUCCCAGCCUGCAGCCAGCCCUAGCCUGACCCGCCAGACAUGUGUCCCAGGCCUUCCCCUAGCCUGUAGAGCCAUGUAAGCCUGCAGGUCAAGGUCAGGUAAAAAAAAAAACAGGCCGUAACGUAAAAGAUCAAGACAUUUACGAAGACUGUCUUUGAUGGGCUCAGGUCCUCCGUGCAGACCACCAACAAGCAAGAGAUUGACGAAAUACAGGUUGUGAAGACGCUGCAAGCUGAUGCCUUCAGAGAUCGCGAAGGUCCUCACCUUGUUGUAGGAGAGCUGACAACAUGUACCAGCCAGCAGCAACUCCCAUGCUAACAGGCUUCUCCCCCGCGGGUAUGUAGCACCUCUGGAGUCGCUCGAUGAAGAAGAGGAUGCUGGCGAGGCCUGUCGUGUUAGCCGGGAUGCGCCGGUACAGAGCUGUGUCCGUUGGGGUUGUGUAGGCAAGCAUCUUCUUGGCAAGGUCCUCGUAGGUGGCCGCAAACAGUUUACGGCUGUGGGAUGAGAACUUGUCUUGUGAAUGUGACGUUGGGAGGAGGGAAGCACAGGGGAAGAGGAGGACGAGGAGGAAGAGAGUUAAGAGUCACAAGAGGAGGAGGAAGGUGGAAAGAAAGAGGAAGGAGAGGAGGAGGAGGAGGAGGAGGAAGAUGGAGAAGGAAAGGAGAAAGAUAAGAAGGAAGGAAAUGCCGCAGAAGGAGAAGAGCAAUAAGAAAUUAGAAUUGACAGAGAAACCAGACAAGGGACUGCAUUUGAAGAAGCACAAGAACCAAGAAAUUACAUCAUUCAAUGAAAUGACAACAUAAUCUAAAGUACAGAUACCAAGGGGAAAUUGCUGGGUCAAGUGGCUACACUGACAUCUGAGGUUAGCAGGUUGGAGAGUGAGUGCAGCAGUCUUCAGGUUCAGCUAGACUGUGAGAGGGAUAAGUAUAACAAACUGCUGGGAGAAUCUCUUGCUCAUGAAAAGUUGUCUGAAGAUGUCAUAACUGAACCAAAAGGAGAAACAACAGGAUUGGGAGGAACUGAGCUUUAACAGAAGCUGCAACAACUGCAGGAGGCUCACAGGGUCCUGGAGAGCAGGUUAACUUGCAGCAUGAAGGAGGUGGCUGAGCUGAGUGACAGGAAGUAGCAGCUUGAGCAUGCUGUAGUGCAUGAGGAGACAGAGUCCAUCGGUGACUACAUCACCAUCUACCAGUUGCAGCGAGGAGUGAUGAAGCAACAAGCUCGAGAACGCGAGUUAGACCUUGCCAGCCUCCAUCAUGAAUGAGAGGAAAUGAAGCAAAACCACUCUGCAGGAUUUGAUAUCAAAGCUGGUGCAGGAAAAGGAAGCAGAUCAUGACCUUCAGCAGCUCGAGAAGAUAAGCAGCGUCCUUAUAUAUAUGUUAUAUAAAUAUGUUCCUUUCACUAUAAUAUAUUAUAUGUAUUAAAAACUGCAUGGAAUACUACUGUAUUCCAUGCACUUUGUAUUCCAUGUAUUCCAGCCACUCAGUCUCCUACUGAGUGGCUGGGGUUUUCCAAAAGUGAGGGUUGGUGUUCUAUACCAUACCAUGUGCCCUGUUUGUAUUCCUUCUCUAUCCUCUGUAUUAUAUUCUAUGUAAAGAUGGUGCUGGGGGUGGGAUCUACUUCUUAUUCCUAAAAGUGAUGAGGAGUGACACUGGGCAGCAUUAAUUUGCUCCUUAGAGAUGGCUGGGUUCCUGUGGAUGAGUGGGCCAUGCUGUGCUUUGUCAAGGAUGGUGUUUGGUAUUGUGAUGACUCUUGCCACAAUCAAGUGUCUCCCACAGAGUAGUGGAGUACCUAUGUAUGGUGUUGGACCCAAAGCUGUCCAGGUCUCAUCCAAUGCCUUAAUAUGAUUUAGAUGAUCAAAAUGGUUUAACUCACCAUUUAAUCAGCUGACUGAUUUGAAUGGAGAAGUAUGUAAUGUGUUGUAGCCUAACCAUCCCUGCCAGCAUGGUCAGACUCUUGGUAGUAACCUGAAAUGCUCCUAGGUAGUGAGUAUCAUUGCACAUAAUGAUCUUUACUUUGUCAGUAAUUCAAUGAUACUGAAUAUUACUCUACUGGAUUUUGCUCAGCACUGCUUGGUAACUUUUGGCCAUAAUCCCAGGUCUGGAAUGAUAUGAAGCCAUGUUUUUACAUUCCAUAUGAGACAGGCAAGCACUAUGCUUUGCCUGACUGAUACCUGUACUUUGCAUUUAUGACCCCAGGUAGUUCAUCACUCUCUCUCUCUCUCUCUCUCUCUCUCUCUCUCUCUCUCUCUCUCUCUCUCUCUCUCUCUCUCUCUCUCUCUCUCUCUCUCUCUCUCUCUCUCUCUCUCUCUCUCUCUCUCUCUCUCUCUGUUUGGAAUUAUACUGUAUAUUAGGAAAUAUCAUUAAAGAGUGUGUGUGUAAAAAGUGUUUGCAUUAUUGUGCAUUUGAUGUUGGUUUCAUGAUUUAUAAAGAUUGCUAUUUUUAAUAAAGUUAUUGAAAUUGUUA